Molecule: ribosomal RNA, 497 nt
Filed under: uncultured bacterium
Lineage: Bacteria
Description: partial 16S ribosomal RNA
Rfam family: Bacterial small subunit ribosomal RNA
Source: RNAcentral
GAUGAACGCUGGCGGCGUGCCUAAUACAUGCAAGUCGAGCGAACAGACGAGGAGCUUGCUCCUCUGACGUUAGCGGCGGACGGGUGAGUAACACGUGGAUAACCUACCUAUAAGACUGGGGUAACUUCGGGAAACCGGAGCUAAUACCGGAUAAUAUAUUGAACCGCAUGGUUCAAUAGUGAAAGACGGUUUUGCUGUCACUUAUAGAUGGAUCCGCGCCGCAUUAGCUAGUUGGUAAGGUAACGGCUUACCAAGGCAACGAUGCGUAGCCGACCUGAGAGGGUGAUCGGCCGCACUGGAACUGAGACACGGUCCAGACUCCUACGGGAGGCAGCAGUAGGGAAUCUUCCGCAAUGGGCGAAAGCCUGACGGAGCAACGCCGCGUGAGUGAUGAAGGUCUUCGGAUCGUAAAACUCUGUUAUUAGGGAAGAACAAAUGUGUAAGUAACUAUGCACGUCUUGACGGUACCUAAUCAGAAAGCCACGGCUAACUACGUG